GUAUGUCACAAUUAUAUAUAAAUAAGAACUCAGCCCAGUGGAAGAAAUCUCAUAUUUUUUUGAAGCAUACAGAGUUUUCAGAGCUCCUGUCUCCAGAAAUAAAGCUUAGCCAUUGUCAAAUAAUAUGCUGUGAGCUGAACCAACUUCUCUAUGUGAAGCCAUAAUUAAGGAUACAGUCACAGAUACUCAGAGCCUUUACUUAAUCUUCCCAUUGAUGUCCUGUACUUCUAUAUAAAAUUGCACUCUUGAAAGGGAUAAUGCAAAAUGAUAACUCAGAAUUAAGAUUGUUUCAUUUAAAUCAGUUUAACUGAAGUAUUUGGGUUGUUUUUGGCUUUUUAAACUCAGCUUCCUGGUGGGAUUCACCUAAUUCCUUUCACCAAUAGAGCAAAGAAAAUUUAACCUCCUAAUUGUAUAUGCCUUGUGGCUCAAAGUUAAAAUUUAAAAAACAAAAAGGUCCAUGAGAGCAGAGCCAGAUUUUGAGCCAUGUGUGUAAUUGAGAUGAUGAGUACUCUAUUUAUAGAAUUCAAACAAGGAAUCUGACUUUUUUUACAUUUUAAACCUGUUAUUAUAAAUACACUGAGCUACACAGAUAUGUUCUUCACCUUAGCACAAAUGUUUAAGGUUAGAUAAUUGAUUCUAGGUAAGGAAUGACACUUCCUUGAAAAGACUAAAUUCAUUGUAUAAUUAGUGAUCUCUGUGAUCUGAUAGUGGCAAUACACACUUGGAUGCACCAACUAAAAUGAGGGAUUUACAAACAUCUUUGUGUCCCAAUAUCACAACAUUUCAGAACUAGAAAAUCAUGUGGUACAUUUAGAAUGUUCUUAUUUUAUAGACAAUGGAAAGCAGUAGACUGUAAUGGCUAAGAGCAAAGUUCCUGGACUCAGAACUAGCACCAAAUCAGAUCUGCCACUUUUUGGCCAGUAUCCCUGGAUAAAUUAUAGAUAAUAGCAUAUACAUUAACACUUAUUGAAUACUUACCACGUUCGAGCACGAUGCCAAGAACCUUAUAUGUAUAUUCAUUUAAUUCUCACAAGUAUGAGGUGUAGGUAUUGUUGUUACCCCCAAUAUAUAGAUGAGGAAAUGAAGCUUGUCAAGUUUGAAUAAAUUGCUUAAGUUGGUAGAAACUCUCAUACUAAAAUCAUAUUGGAUUGAGACUAAAGACUAUGCUAUUACGUGCUACCGCGUCCUGUACUGUUUUUCUUUGAUGUUCUGAGCCUCAGUUUUUCCAACUGUAGUUUGUGCAACAAUAUCUCACUUGUGUUAAUUAAAGAAAUAUGCAAAAGUACCUAGAAAUAGAAAACCAAAACUCUCAGUGAUUAAAACUCAUUUCUCAUAUCCAAACAGCAAUUUAUUGUUGUUGUUGUUAUUAAACAGAGUGUGUCACUUGGGCUUCAUGUUUAUAUCAAGCUGAUCAGUAUAUCAUGAUAAUGAAUUUUACCUGUUGACAACCUAUUGCUUCACAACCUUUCUGCCUUAUCCUAUUUUUUUCUUUAAAGAUUUUAUUUAUCCAUUCAUGAGAGACACACAGAGAGAAAGAGGCAGAGACACAGGCAGAGGGAGAAGCAGGCUCCAUGCAGGGAGCCCGACGUGGGAUUCAAUCCCAGGUCUCCAGGAUCAUGCUCCAGGCUGAAGGCGGCGCUAAACUGCUAGAGCCACUGGGGCUGCCCCCUUAUCCUAUUUUCUAGGGCACACAACACUAGUUUAAAACAACCUCAUAUUACUUAAGAACAUGAGAUAACUUAAAAUAUUUAGAAAGCAGGAAACAGCCUACUGUAAAUUGGACACACUGGAGUUCAAGAGAAUUAGAAUUUCUUGAAUAAGAUGUGAGCAGAAACUUGUUGGAGCUGAUUUGCCAUCUUAUUUUGCGUUCUAGAAUUGUAAUUUGGAAUGUUUAGUAGGAAUUCUCUGAUGAAAGCUGGAAAAUUAAAACAUUCUAAAACCUUGUUAUAGUAAAUUAUUUGUGACUCCAUAAUUAGACUCCUCAGCAGUAGCCCAUGAUAGCUGCACUUGGACUUGCUCUUUUACCACGUUUCUCUAGGUAAUGAUGCAGGGACUGAUGAAGCAGCAAAAUGGGCCAAUGAGCUCAUCAUGCUCCAGAGAAUAUUCUGGUGUGCCCUGAAUAGACAUCUAGAAAUUCAUUUGAAUAGAGCCGACCUCUUUGUCCCAUAUCCGUGUCCCAUAUGUUGACAUGUAUGCAUCUGUGUCUCCUGGCUGUUCUCAUCGGUGUACUUGGCAAGCAAGAAUUCUCAGUAAGGGAAUAGAACAAUUAAGGAGAGAGAAGAGAGAAAGAAGGUGGAGUUAAUCCUGAAAAUUUACUGGGCAUUGAGCGUGCAGAGGAAAGGCCUAGAACUGAAUGACAAAGAAAGACAAAGGACUGAAGAACGGCAGAUACUGUGCAUCAUGGAAGCUUCCCCAUGAGUGUGUUUCCACUCAUGUGCAGGACCAGCAACCCUCUGGGUUUGAAAGGCUGGUUACUCAAGAGAUUUGAACAAAUGCCCAACUAUGGAGGUCGUAUGACUCUUACCAGCAUUUAUUUUGCCACGUUCUACAACAUCACCUAGUAAGCAGAGAGUUUUGAAUACUUCCACAAAUGUGGCAGCUGUUGACUUGGCAGCUUACUAGACUUCUCUUCAAGAAAGAACUGGCCUAUCUAUCAACGAAUGCCUUUGGAUCUGAGAAUUGGGCCAAGAAACCAGAGAGAAAGAGAGAGCACAAGCAAGGGGAGCAGCAGGCCGGGGGAGAGGGAGCCUGACAUGGGGCUCGAUCCCAGGACCCCGAGGUCACGACCUGAGCCCAAGGCCGACGCUUAACCAGCUGAGGCACCCAGGCGCCCCCAUGCACAUGAUCUUUAUUCAGAUGAUCGUCAAGCACCGUGAUGCACCAGCACUUCUGAGAACUGAGGAUACCGUCGUGUGCCCGAAGACACGGGCAGCUCUCUGGCGCCUCUUGCACUCGGAUCCUGCAGACUUAUGACUUACCAUUUUGAAGCAAGCUUUGAGGAUGGAUUACCAGGCACCUAAGUUAAUUUUUUUUAAUAUUAUUUAUUUAUUUGAGAGAGAGAGAGAGAGAGAGAGAAAGCAUGAACAGGGGAAGGGACAGAAGGAGAGGGAGAAGCAGACUCCCCGCUGAUCAUGGAACCCAACACGAGGCUCCAGGACCCCGAGAUCAUGACCUGAGUGGAAGUAAGCCACUUAGUCGACUGAGCCACCCAGGUGCCCCAACUAAGUUCAGUUUACCAGGGCCCUGAACAAAAUGACCAAAAUACAACAGAGCAAGACAUGGGAAACAUUCCUUACCUUUAAAGAAGACAAAAUUCCCAUCACUGUUUUCAUAAACUGCAUCGAUACUAGGAGGCAAGCCCCGCCAGAAAUUAUUUAUUUGAGAGAGAGAGCAUGCGAGAGAGAAGACAGGGCUAAGAGGAGUAGAG
Molecule: long non-coding RNA, 3427 nt
Organism: Canis lupus familiaris (dog)
Lineage: Eukaryota; Metazoa; Chordata; Mammalia; Carnivora; Canidae
Exons: 9
Source: RefSeq, a predicted model, not a curated record